RNAcentral lists this ribosomal RNA (459 nucleotides) under Peltocheirus sp. n. DMT-2018. RNAcentral's name for it is "partial large subunit ribosomal RNA". The record is from RNAcentral. Lineage: Eukaryota; Metazoa; Arthropoda; Insecta; Hemiptera; Cicadellidae.
UAGAAUUAUAAUUAAAGGUAAUUUCUGCCCUAUGAUUAUUUAAAUGGCUGCAGUAUAUUGACUGUGCAAAGGUAGCAUAAUAAUUAGUCUUUUAAUUGAAGGCUUGUAUGAAUGAAUUAAUGAGGAGUUUAUUUUAUUAUUUUUAUGGUUUUAAUUUAAUUUUUGAGUUAAAAAGCUUAAUUUAUUUUUUGGGACGAGAAGACCCUAUAGAAUUUAAUAAAUUUUUUUAAUAAUUUUUUUUUGAUUAAUAAAUUUAAUUUUUAGGGAUUUUUCUUUUGUUGGGGNGAUGAAUAAAUUUGACUUUAUUUUUUAUAAUCAUUAAUUUAUGUUCUUUUGAUCCAUUAUUUUGAUUUUAAGAUUAAAUUACCUUAGGGAUAACAGCGUAAUUUUUAUGGGGAGUUCAUAUUUAUAUAAAAGUUUGCGACCUCGAUGUUGAAUUAAGAUAAAAUUUUGGAGCAG